Molecule: long non-coding RNA, 1045 nt
Filed under: Homo sapiens (human)
Lineage: Eukaryota; Metazoa; Chordata; Mammalia; Primates; Hominidae
Description: non-protein coding lnc-ESR2-3:4
Source: RNAcentral
AAAUUCAGAAACUUCAGAGACAGCUCAGUGAUUUGAAAUUGUCAAAUAAAAAUAUGAAAACUCAGCUGACAAGAGUAAAUGUCCUUAAAGACAAAACAAUUGAAGAGCUCAGGCAAUCUUUAGCAAAUGUUGAAAGGAUGAAAGAGAAGGCAAAUGUUGAAACGAUGAAAGAGAAGGCAGUUGUGAAAACAGAAAACUUGAAAACUACAUUAGACUCUGCAGAGCAAAAGGCAAGAUCAGACAAAGAGAAGACCCAGCAGAUGUUAGAUGCUGUCACUUCUGAGCCCCCAACAGCAAAGAGCGCACCUGAAGAAGUAUCAGGACAAGAACAAGAGGUUUUUUCAAAAUAGUAAAAUUAAAAUUAAUUUAGUUGAAGUGAUAAACACCCACGCCUACUUAGACUGUAACUAACUUGACAAAAGGGAAUAUUGGCUUAUGGAAUCAUGAGUUAAACAACCUAACCUCCAGGUGGGCGGAGAUACACCUGGGCCCCAGGAUCAGCACCUGGAACCUACAAGCCCUUUCUCAUGGUCACUUCUUGGCAUCUAUGUGUCAGCUCAUCUGUCUGACUGCUGGUUGGUUUUCUCCAUGACAGGAAACAUGAUCACUGGCAACCAUGGAGAUUUAUAUGGAGUUUCUGUGACAGGAGAGAGAAUCCCAAGAAAAGGUCUUAUUGACCCAGUUUAGGUCAAGUGCUUAUCCCUGCUAAACCCACAGUGGCUAGGGAUGGGAUAUAUGAUUAUUUUAUAUACUCUAACAAGUGACCAGGAGUGUAGAGUUCUAUGACAUCAUGUGUCAUCAUGUGAAGCUCAGGGGAAACCAUGUGUGUCACUUUCUGUGUCACUGUCUAGGAGAAUAUAGUAGUGCUUCUUAACUUGCUUAGAUUUUCACUAUACUUAUAAAGCAAAUAUUUCGAGAGAAUUUUUUAAAGGCCAACUGAUCAUCUGGGGCAAUUUUUAAAUUAUAUGUCACUUCUCCAUAUAUUAGUUGCUUAUGAAACUUAUACCUUAAGAUAUGCUUAAAACAUAAAGUCAUGAUAUUAGCA